ACAUCAAUAAUUGCUUACAGGCUAGAAAAUUUGUCAACUCAUGCAUGUUUUUUGCUGUAAAUGCACCAAAUCAAAUUAAGCUGAGACAGAUUAUAUCCUAACAUUUGACACUUGCAGUUUUGGUUAAUAACAACUUUUUCAUUGAACAAUAAAAAUAUAGUUUUUGUAUCCAUACAAUUAGUUCGGUGAAACUUGUUCACAACAAAUUUCAAUCUUUCAGAUGAGAGAGAAACACAUUUUGUUUUAUAUGAUAAGUUACAGAUGCAAGAUAUAAUUUCUACUUGAU
Molecule: long non-coding RNA, 286 nt
Filed under: Mytilus galloprovincialis (Mediterranean mussel)
Lineage: Eukaryota; Metazoa; Mollusca; Bivalvia; Mytilida; Mytilidae
Source: RNAcentral